Molecule: ribosomal RNA, 250 nt
Filed under: uncultured bacterium
Lineage: Bacteria
Description: partial 16S ribosomal RNA
Rfam family: Bacterial small subunit ribosomal RNA
Source: RNAcentral
UAGGGAAUAUUGCACAAUGGGCGAAAGCCUGAUGCAGCAACGCCGCGUGAGUGAUGAAGGCCUUCGGGUCGUAAAACUCUUUUCGGGGAGAUGAGGAAGGACAGUAUCCCCGGAAUAAGAUUCGGCUAACUACGUGCCAGCAGCCGCGGUAACACGUAGGAAUCGAGCGUUAUCCGAAUUUACUGGGCGUAAAGCGCGUGCAGGCGGUUUGAUAAGUUGGAUGUGAAAGCUCCUGGCUCAACUGGGAGAG